UGAUGAUGAUGAUGAUGAUUGUUCUACUGUUGUGAAUGAAGUGGCACUUUGGACAUCUGUUGUCUUCAAACUUCAAACUUCUUAGAUAAUAGAUGUUUGAAGAACAACAGAUGUCCAAAGUGCGGAUUCUUUGGAAGCAGCCAGGAAGAAUUAUAUGAGAAUACCUUUAAUUUAUCGAACCUGUAGAAUGAGAUGUUCCACCGUUGGGUUAUCAUCUUUCAACCUCACUUUCCCUAAAUUUAUCAAUUCUAUUUUUCAACAGGAUGUAAUACAAUUAUAAAGACCGAUGGUUAUAACAGCUGAUCAUACUAAUGACUGUUAUAAUUAACCACUGCUCCUUAUAAAGAAUGAUGGACUUAAAUACUGAUGAGGCCUAUCCACUGAUGUAGACAAAUCUCUGUUAAAGUUCCAUGUGCUAAGGAUUGUUAUAACUAACCACUGCUCCUUAUAUAAUCUUCGUUCCAGUAUCAUUGUUCCAACAUCGUUGUUUCAAUGAAGCUUCCCAUCACACAUCAAUCUUUCAAUAUCGAUGUUGCAAUAUAAUUGUGUGCAACAUCGUUAAAGGUUGCAUGUGCUACCUUCUUUGAUGGUAGAGUUGUGGUUUCCCUUGAUAAUGAUGAUGAUGAUACUGAUGAUGAUGAUGAUGAUGUAGAAGCUGCAGUACUUCCUGCUAAAGUAUUUGGUCUUUCCUGCCUUCUUUGUAUUUAAAGAAGCAUAAAGUUUGUUUUAUCGCAGCUUUUUAUGAACAAAGUUAAGUAUCAAGUAUAUGAGGACAGGGCUACUCUUCCAUAGCUGAAGAAGUGUUUUCGUAUACUGCAUGUUGGUUUGUUCACGAGAGAUCAGGUUUCUAUAAAUCCUGCUGGAAAUGCAUUGAGUACUUCCACGGAGUUCAUGGCGAUUGUCGAAGAUAUACUUUGAUGGAGUUUAAAGCUAAAAGCACUAAAUUUUAAGCUAAAAGCAUUAAAUUUUGGUUGUUAGGUUCCUAAAUUUAUUGGUGUUGUUCUUAUAUUUUAAAUUGUAUGUAAUUUUGUAAAGUACAAUAACAAACAGUGGUUUAACAUCUGUUUGCAUUUUGGUCAAUAGAUAAUGGAAACCCAUGUUAGGUUGAACACUGUUUUUAAGUUAAACAUCUGUUAAGUGUUAAACAGAUGUUUGGCCUUUAACAUCUGUUUAUGGGCAAACAGCUGUUUAUGGCCAAACUUCUGUUUAUGAGCAAUCAUCUGUUUAUGCUCAGACCUUUGUUUAUGUUAACAGUGUUUAUAGUCUGUUUGGUUGAUAAAUGUUACCACCUCAGUGUUUUAUAUGUAACAAUUUAGUCACAACAAUGUUUAUAUGUAACAGUGUAUAUCCCAACAGUGUUUAUAUGUAACAGUAUUUAUCAAAUCCCUACAUUGAUUUGAUCU
RNAcentral lists this long non-coding RNA (1403 nucleotides) under Helianthus annuus (common sunflower). RNAcentral's name for it is "sRNA HanXRQr2_Chr10g0423941". Lineage: Eukaryota; Viridiplantae; Streptophyta; Magnoliopsida; Asterales; Asteraceae. The record is from RNAcentral.